RNAcentral lists this long non-coding RNA (285 nucleotides) under Mytilus galloprovincialis (Mediterranean mussel). Lineage: Eukaryota; Metazoa; Mollusca; Bivalvia; Mytilida; Mytilidae. The record is from RNAcentral.
UUAUUUGUAGAUCUUACUUUGCUUAACAUUUUUGCUAUUAACAGUUUAUCUGUAUCUAUAAUAAUAUUCAAGAUAUUGACCAAAAACUGCAAAAUUUCCUUAAAAUUACCAAUUAAGUGGCAGCAACCCAACAAUGGUUUGUUUGAUUCAUUUGAAAAUUUCAGGGCUGAUAGAUCUUGACCUAAUGAACAUUUUUACCACAUGUCAGAUUUGCUCUAAAUGCUUUCGUUUUUGAGAUAUAAGCCAAAAACUGCAUUUGACCCCUAUGUUCUAUUUUCAGUAACG